This 1359-nucleotide ribosomal RNA is filed under the name Paenarthrobacter aurescens. RNAcentral describes it as "bacterial SSU rRNA". It matches the Rfam family "Bacterial small subunit ribosomal RNA", at positions 77 to 1446 of the family's 1533-position model. Lineage: Bacteria; Bacillati; Actinomycetota; Actinomycetes; Micrococcales; Micrococcaceae. The record is from RNAcentral.
AGCUUGCUGGGGGAUUAGUGGCGAACGGGUGAGUAACACGUGAGUAACCUCCCCUUGACUCUGGGAUAAGCCUGGGAAACUGGGUCUAAUACCGGAUAUGACCAUCUGGCGCAUGUCAUGGUGGUGGAAAGCUUUUGUGGUUUUGGAUGGACUCGCGGCCUAUCAGCUUGUUGGUGGGGUAAUGGCCUACCAAGGCGACGACGGGUAGCCGGCCUGAGAGGGUGACCGCCCACACUGGGACUGAGACACGGCCCAGACUCCUACGGGAGGCAGCAGUGGGGAAUAUUGCACAAUGGGCGCAAGCCUGAUGCAGCGACGCCGCGUGAGGGAUGACGGCCUUCGGGUUGUAAACCUCUUUCAGUAGGGAAGAAGCGAAAGUGACGGUACCUGCAGAAGAAGCGCCGGCUAACUACGUGCCAGCAGCCGCGGUAAUACGUAGGGCGCAAGCGUUAUCCGGAAUUAUUGGGCGUAAAGAGCUCGUAGGCGGUUUGUCGCGUCUUCUGUGAAAGACCGGGGCUCAACUCCGGUUCUGCAGUGGGUACGGGCAGACUAGAGUGCAGUAGGGGAGACUGGAAUUCCUGGUGUAGCGGUGAAAUGCGCAGAUAUCAGGAGGAACACCGAUGGCGAAGGCAGGUCUCUGGGCUGUAACUGACGCUGAGGAGCGAAAGCAUGGGGAGCGAACAGGAUUAGAUACCCUGGGUAGUCCAUGCCGUAAACGUUGGGCACUAGGUGUGGGGGACAUUCCACGUUUUCCGCGCCGUAGCUAACGCAUUAAGUGCCCCGCCUGGGGAGUACGGCCGCAAGGCUAAAACUCAAAGGAAUUGACGGGGGCCCGCACAAGCGGCGGAGCAUGCGGAUUAAUUCGAUGCAACGCGAAGAACCUUACCAAGGCUUGACAUGAACCGGAAAGACCUGGAAACAGGUGCCCCGCUUGCGGUCGGUUUACAGGUGGUGCAUGGUUGUCGUCAGCUCGUGUCGUGAGAUGUUGGGUUAAGUCCCGCAACGAGCGCAACCCUCGUUCUAUGUUGCCAGCGCGUUAUGGCGGGGACUCAUAGGAGACUGCCGGGGUCAACUCGGAGGAAGGUGGGGACGACGUCAAAUCAUCAUGCCCCUUAUGUCUUGGGCUUCACGCAUGCUACAAUGGCCGGUACAAAGGGUUGCGAUACUGUGAGGUGGAGCUAAUCCCAAAAAGCCGGUCUCAGUUCGGAUUGGGGUCUGCAACUCGACCCCAUGAAGUCGGAGUCGCUAGUAAUCGCAGAUCAGCAACGCUGCGGUGAAUACGUUCCCGGGCCUUGUACACACCGCCCGUCAAGUCACGAAAGUUGGUAACACCCGAAGCCGGUGGCCUAACCCUUGUGG